Molecule: ribosomal RNA, 253 nt
Filed under: uncultured bacterium
Lineage: Bacteria
Description: partial 16S ribosomal RNA
Rfam family: Bacterial small subunit ribosomal RNA
Source: RNAcentral
UACGGGGGGUGCGAGCGUUGUCCGGAAUCACUGGGCGUAAAGGGCGCGUAGGUGGCUCUGUAAGUUUGCGGUGAAAGCCCGGGGCUCAACCCCGGGUCUGCCGUGGAUACUGCAAGGCUUGAGUACUGUAGAGGCAGGUAGAAUAUCGGGUGUAGCGGUGGAAUGCGUAGAGAUCCGAUAGAAGACCGGUGGCGAAGGCGGCCUGCUGGGCAGUAACUGACACUGAGGCGCGACAGCGUGGGGAGCAAACAGG